AUUGAACGCUGGCGGCAGGCCUAACACAUGCAAGUCGAACGGUAGCACAGAGAGCUUGCUCUCGGGUGACGAGUGGCGGACGGGUGAGUAACGUCUGGGAAACUGCCCGAUGGAUGGGGAUAACUACUGGAAACGGUAGCUAAUACCGCAUAACGUCGCAAGACCAAAGUGGGGGACCUUCGGGCCUCACACCAUCGGAUGUGCCCAGAUGGGAUUAGCUAGUAGGUGGGGUAAUGGCUCACCUAGGCGACGAUCCCUAGCUGGUCUGAGAGGAUGACCAGCCACACUGGAACUGAGACACGGUCCAGACUCCUACGGGAGGCAGCAGAGGGGAAUAUUGCACAAUGGGCGCAAGCCUGAUGCAGCCAUGCCGCGUGUAUGAAGAAGGCCUUCGGGUUGUAAAGUACUUUCAGCGGGGAGGAAGGCGGUGAAGUUAACAGCUUCACCGAUUGACGUUACCCGCAGAAGAAGCACCGGCUAACUCCGUGCCAGCAGCCGCGGUAA
RNAcentral lists this ribosomal RNA (504 nucleotides) under uncultured bacterium. Its description in RNAcentral is "partial 16S ribosomal RNA". It matches the Rfam family "Bacterial small subunit ribosomal RNA", at positions 29 to 523 of the family's 1533-position model. The record is from RNAcentral.